AUACAAGAAAGGUGGCUACAAGAUAACCUUACUUUAAGAAAAAGAAAUGAGGAACUAAAAGAAGUUGAAGAAGAAAGAAAACAACAUUUGAAGGAAAUGGGUCAAAUGCAGGUUUUGCAAAUGAAAAGUGAACAUCAGAAGUUGGAAGAGAACAUAGACAAUAUAAAAAGAAAUCAUAAUUUGGCAUUAGGGCGACAGAAAGGUUAUGAAGAAGAAAUUAUUCAUUUUAAGAAAGAACUUCGAGAACCACAAUUUCGGGAUGCUGAGGAAAAGUAUAGAGAAAUGAUGAUUGUUAUGAGGACAACAGAACUUGUGAACAAGGAUCUGGAUAUUUAUUAUAAGACUCUUGACCAGU
RNAcentral lists this long non-coding RNA (355 nucleotides) under Pan troglodytes (chimpanzee). RNAcentral describes it as "long non-coding RNA NONPTRT013732". The record is from RNAcentral. Lineage: Eukaryota; Metazoa; Chordata; Mammalia; Primates; Hominidae.